AGCAGCCGCGGUAAUUCCAGCUCCAAUAGCGUAUAUUAAAGUUGUUGCAGUUAAAAAGCUCGUAGUUGAAUUUCGGGAUCAAAUUGUCGGUCGUGCCUCGGUACGCACUGGUAUUAUUGGUUCCUACCUUCUGAAGAACCGCGAUGUCAUUAAUUUGGUGUCGUGGGGAAUCAGGACUGUUACUUUGAAAAAAUUAGAGUGUUUAAAGCAGGCUUACGCUUGAAUACAUUAGCAUGGAAUAAUGAAAUAGGACGUUUGAUUCUAUUUUGUUGGUUUCUAGGAUUGACGUAAUGAUUAAUAGGGAUAGUUGGGGGCAUUAGUAUUCAAUUGUCAGAGGUGAAAUUCUUGGAUUUAUUGAAGACUAACUACUGCGAAAGCAUUUGCCAAGGAUGUUUUCAUUAAUCAAGAACGAAAGUUAGGGGAUCGAAGACGAUCAGAUACCGUCGUAGUCUUAACCAUAAACUAUGCCGACUAGGGAUCGGAUGAU
Molecule: ribosomal RNA, 487 nt
Filed under: uncultured Glomus
Lineage: Eukaryota; Fungi; Glomeromycota; Glomeromycetes; Glomerales; Glomeraceae
Description: SSU rRNA
Rfam family: Eukaryotic small subunit ribosomal RNA
Source: RNAcentral